UCGAAGACGCCAAGCGGUAAGGCACCGGUUUUUGAUACCGGCAUUCCCUGGUUCGAAUCCAGGUACCCCAGCCA
Molecule: transfer RNA, 74 nt
Filed under: Salmonella enterica subsp. enterica serovar Paratyphi A
Lineage: Bacteria; Pseudomonadati; Pseudomonadota; Gammaproteobacteria; Enterobacterales; Enterobacteriaceae
Description: tRNA-Gln
Rfam family: tRNA (bases 9-63)
About the family: Transfer RNA (tRNA) molecules are approximately 80 nucleotides in length.
Source: RNAcentral